CAAUAGCGUAUAUUUAAGUUGCUGCAGUUAAAAAGCUCGUAGUUGGAUUUCUGGUGGGAAUGGCCGGUCCGCCGUUUCGGUGUGCACUUGCUACGCCCACCUUGCUGCCGGGGACGUGCUCUUGAGUUCACGCUCGGGACACGGAGUCGGCGAGGUUACUUUGAGUAAAUUAGAGUGUUCAAAGCAGGCCUACGCUCUGAAUACAUUAGCAUGGAAUAACACGAUAGGACUCUGGCCUAUCUUGUUGGUCUGUAGGACCGGAGUAAUGAUUAAGAGGGACAGUCGGGGGCAUUCGUAUUUCAUUGUCAGAGGUGAAAUUCUUGGAUUUAUGAAAGACGAACUACUGCGAAAGCAUUUGCCAAGGAUGUUUUCAUUAA
Molecule: ribosomal RNA, 377 nt
Filed under: uncultured eukaryote
Lineage: Eukaryota
Description: partial 18S ribosomal RNA
Rfam family: Eukaryotic small subunit ribosomal RNA
Source: RNAcentral